Molecule: ribosomal RNA, 206 nt
Filed under: uncultured bacterium
Lineage: Bacteria
Description: partial 16S ribosomal RNA
Rfam family: Bacterial small subunit ribosomal RNA
Source: RNAcentral
CGUGUAGGCGGGCAGGCACGUCGGUCGCUGAAAGCCCCCGGCUCAACCGGGAACGGGCGCCGAUACGGCCGGCCUGGAGGGGGUAGGGGGAGCCGGAACUUCCGGUGGAGCGGUGAAAUGCGUUGAGAUCGGAAGGAACGCCCGUGGCGAAAGCGGGCUCCUGGACCUCACCUGACGCUGAGACGCGAAAGCUAGGGGAGCGAACG